GCUCAACCGGGGAGGGUCAUUGGAAACUGGGGAACUUGAGUGCAGAAGAGGAGAGUGGAAUUCCACGUGUAGCGGUGAAAUGCGUAGAGAUGUGGAGGAACACCAGUGGCGAAGGCGACUCUCUGGUCUGUAACUGACGCUGAGGCGCGAAAGCGUGGGGAGCGAACAGGAUUAGAUACCCUGGUAGUCCACGCCGUAAACGAUGAGUGCUAAGUGUUAGAGGGUUUCCGCCCUUUAGUGCUGCAGCAAACGCAUUAAGCACUCCGCCUGGGGAGUACGGUCGCAAGACUGAAACUCAAAGGAAUUGACGGGGGCCCGCACAAGCGGUGGAGCAUGUGGUUUAAUUCGAAGCAACGCGAAGAACCUUACCAGGUCUUGACAUCCUUUGACAACCCUAGAGAUAGGGCUUCCCCUUCGGGGGCAGAGUGACAGGUGGUGCAUGGUUGUCGUCAGCUCGUGUCGUGAGAUGUUGGGUUAAGUCCCGCAACGAGCGCAACCCUUGAUCUUAGUUGCCAGCAUUCAGUUGGGCACUCUAAGGUGACUGCCGGUGACAAACCGGAGGAAGGUGGGGAUGACGUCAAAUCAUCAUGCCCCUUAUGACCUGCGCUACACACGUGCUACAAUGGGCAGAACAAAG
RNAcentral lists this ribosomal RNA (637 nucleotides) under uncultured bacterium. Its description in RNAcentral is "bacterial SSU rRNA". It matches the Rfam family "Bacterial small subunit ribosomal RNA", at positions 607 to 1244 of the family's 1533-position model. The record is from RNAcentral.